RNAcentral lists this ribosomal RNA (497 nucleotides) under uncultured bacterium. RNAcentral describes it as "partial 16S ribosomal RNA". It matches the Rfam family "Bacterial small subunit ribosomal RNA", at positions 28 to 507 of the family's 1533-position model. The record is from RNAcentral.
GAUGAACGCUGGCGGCGUGCCUAAUACAUGCAAGUCGAGCGAACAGAUGAGGAGCUUGCUCCUCUGACGUUAGCGGCGGACGUGUGAGUAACACGUGGAUAACCUACCUAUAAGACUGGGAUAACUUCGGGAAACCGGAGCUAAUACCGGAUAAUAUAUUGAACCGCAUGGUUCAAUAGUGAAAGACGGCUUUGCUGUCACUUAUAGAUGGAUCCGCGCCGCAUUAGCUAGUUGGUAAGGUAACGGCUUACCAAGGCAACGAUGCGUAGCCGACCUGAGAGGGUGAUCGGCCACACUGGAACUGAGACACGGUCCAGACUCCUACGGGAGGCAGCAGUAGGGAAUCUUCCGCAAUGGGCGAAAGCCUGACGGAGCAACGCCGCGUGAGUGAUGAAGGUCUUCGGAUCGUAAAACUCUGUUAUUAGGGAAGAACAAAUGUGUAAGUAACUAUGCACGUCUUGACGGUACCUAAUCAGAAAGCAACGGCUAACUACGUG